CGUACUGGAAAGUGCGGCUGGAUCACCUCCUUUCUAAGAGAAAGAUAAACUAAGGCUAAUUCCAUUAACUCUUCCCUACUCUUUUCUUUUGAUAAGAGAGUUUUUAAAACCAGUGUUAUUUUUGUAAGUUUAAGAGAAGUUUGUGUAUUGAAUUUUUUAUUUUUAAUAUUAAAGAGCUUUGUUAAACUUAGACUUAAGUUUAGGUCAUUUUGGGGGUUUAGCUCAGUUGGCUAGAGCAUCGGCUUUGCAAGCCGAGGGUCAAGGGUUCGAGUCCCUUAACCUCCAUUGGGCUUAUGUCCUAAAUUGUAAUUAAGUAUGUUUUUAAGCAACUUUGUUAAAGUAAUUGUUAGAAUGUGAAACAGAGAAAGUUAAAAUUUCUGGGUUAAGUUGAGAUCUGUUGAUAUUAAGAAGAAUCUCUAGAAGCAAAAGCAAGCUUUCGAUAAAACCCGAAGUUGUUUCGCUAAAGUGCAAGGAUUAAACAGGAUUGUAUUUUCCAGCAGCCUAUUUUAUAAACGAUCUGCAUUUAGUAAAUAGUUUUUAGUUAAGAAAUAAUGUAGAUUGCUAAGUGUGAUGUCUGAAAGAAGGAC
RNAcentral lists this unclassified non-coding RNA (587 nucleotides) under Borreliella burgdorferi (Lyme disease spirochete). RNAcentral describes it as "partial may contain 16S ribosomal RNA and 16S-23S ribosomal RNA intergenic spacer". The stretch from base 212 to 285 matches the Rfam family "tRNA". The record is from RNAcentral. Lineage: Bacteria; Pseudomonadati; Spirochaetota; Spirochaetia; Spirochaetales; Borreliaceae.